AGCGAAGCAAGCUGUGCGACAAAAAAAUGUCGUAUGCAGCUAAGGUGCUAGCGGAGCUCCACCAGGCGUGGGGGUGCUCCCGUUAUCCGGGGUAAGGCUCAGAUAGGUAACAUCCAGGUCACACCGACAGGAACACCGAUCUGCAAGUCUGAUGAAACUCUUAGACGGUGGUCUGUCUUUGCAUGUAACUCAUGGACCUUUUGUCCAAUGAUUGAAAUUCUCCGCCUUCUUCUACCCCGCAGAGGUUCUGGAAAACAACCCCCACAUCCCCUGAUGUGGGAAAUCCAGGCAAAAGGUACCUGGACUUGAAACAAGCUGAAAGAUAAUUGUGGUCUUGGGGGCUCGUGGGGGUUAUACGGGCAAUGGAAUUCAACAGGAAAUUUUAGCUCACCACAUAUGUUCAAAAUGACGAUGUUCAUGAUGAGAACUUACAUGUCAACAAAGUUGGGGUCGAGACGGAUUCCUAUGGGGAUUUACCACUGCAUCAAAGGGGCCAAUAUUUCAAGUAAGGUAGCCAUUUUAAGAUAUGGUAUAUAAGAGACUGGUAUAUAAGUUUUUCAUCCAUCUGACAGUGACUC
Molecule: small RNA, 578 nt
Filed under: Histoplasma capsulatum var. duboisii H88
Lineage: Eukaryota; Fungi; Ascomycota; Eurotiomycetes; Onygenales; Ajellomycetaceae
Description: Histoplasma capsulatum H88 hypothetical RNA
Source: RNAcentral